Molecule: ribosomal RNA, 301 nt
Filed under: uncultured bacterium
Lineage: Bacteria
Description: partial 16S ribosomal RNA
Rfam family: Bacterial small subunit ribosomal RNA
Source: RNAcentral
CAGUAGCCACGGGAAAACGUAGGUGGCAAGCGUUGUCCGGAAUUAUUGGGCGUAAAGCGCGCGCAGGCGGAUCGGUCAGUCUGUCUUAAAAGUUCGGGGCUUAACCCCGUGAUGGGAUGGAAACUGCCAACCUAGAGUAUCGGAGAGGAAAGUGGAAUUCCUAGUGUAGCGGUGAAAUGCGUAGAUAUUAGGAAGAACACCAGUGGCGAAGGCGACUUUCUGGACGAAAACUGACGCUGAGGCGCGAAAGCCAGGGGAGCGAACGGGAUUAGAUACCCCGGUAGUCCCUGUCUCUUAUACA